CGGCGGGCUCGGGGGGUCCCCCCGUCGUGUACCAGCCCAGGAACUCCAGGUCCUUGAACACCUGCUUGACUUGGGGGGAAAAAACCAAAAUUGGGGACACCAAAAUUGCCCAAAAUUACCCAAAAUUGGGAACCCCAAACCCCAGGAACUCCAGGUCCUUGAACACCUGCUUGACUUGGGGGGGAAAAACCAAAAUUGGGGACACCAAAAUUACCCAAAAUUACCCAAAACCCAGGAACUCCAGGUCCUUGAACACCUGCUUGACUUUUGGGGGGAAAAAAACCAAAAUUGGGGACCCCAAAAUUACCCAAAAUUACCCAAAAUCCAGGAACUCCAGGUCCUUGAACACCUGCUUGACUUUGGGGGAAAAAACCGAAAUUGGGAACCCCAAAAUUAUCCAAAAUCCCCAAAAUUGGGAACCCCAAAACCCAGGAACUCCAGGUCCUUGAACACCUGCUUGACUUUUGGGGGGAAAACAGAAAUUGGGAACCCCAAAAUUACCCAAAAUUACCCAAAAUCCCCAAAACUGGGAACCCCAAAACCCAGGAACUCCAGGUCCUUGAACACCUGCUUGACUUGGGGGGAAAACAGAAAUUGGGGACACCAAAAUUACCCAAAAUCCCCAAAAUUGGGAACCCCAAAACCCAGGAACUCCAGGUCCUUGAACACCUGCUUGACUUGGGGGGAAAAACCAAAAUUGGGAACCCCAAAAUUACCCAAAAUCCUCCUCAAAAUCCAGCCCAGGAACCCCAAAAUCCCCAAAAUUGGGAACCCCAAACCCCAGGAACUCCAGGUCCUUGAACACCUGCUUGACUUUGGGGGGGAAAAACCAAAAUUGGGAACCCCAAAAUUACCCAAAA
RNAcentral lists this long non-coding RNA (860 nucleotides) under Zonotrichia albicollis (white-throated sparrow). RNAcentral's name for it is "lncRNA (ENSZALG00000004449.1)". Lineage: Eukaryota; Metazoa; Chordata; Aves; Passeriformes; Passerellidae. The record is from RNAcentral.